RNAcentral lists this ribosomal RNA (2902 nucleotides) under Klebsiella pneumoniae. Its description in RNAcentral is "23S ribosomal RNA". It matches the Rfam family "Bacterial large subunit ribosomal RNA". The record is from RNAcentral. Lineage: Bacteria; Pseudomonadati; Pseudomonadota; Gammaproteobacteria; Enterobacterales; Enterobacteriaceae.
GGUUAAGCGACUAAGCGUACACGGUGGAUGCCCUGGCAGUCAGAGGCGAUGAAGGACGUGCUAAUCUGCGAAAAGCGUCGGUAAGGUGAUAUGAACCGUUAUAACCGGCGAUGUCCGAAUGGGGAAACCCAGUGCAAUUCGUUGCACUAUCGUUAACUGAAUACAUAGGUUAACGAGGCGAACCGGGGGAACUGAAACAUCUAAGUACCCCGAGGAAAAGAAAUCAACCGAGAUUCCCCCAGUAGCGGCGAGCGAACGGGGAGCAGCCCAGAGUCUGAAUCAGCUUGUGUGUUAGUGGAACGGUCUGGAAAGUCCGACGGUACAGGGUGAUAGUCCCGUACACCAAAAUGCACAGGCUGUGAACUCGAAGAGUAGGGCGGGAAACGUGGUAUCCUGUCUGAAUAUGGGGGGACCAUCCUCCAAGGCUAAAUACUCCUGACUGACCGAUAGUGAACCAGUACCGUGAGGGAAAGGCGAAAAGAACCCCGGCGAGGGGAGUGAAAAAGAACCUGAAACCGUGUACGUACAAGCAGUGGGAGCACCUUCGGGUGUGACUGCGUACCUUUUGUAUAAUGGGUCAGCGACUUAUAUUCUGUAGCAAGGUUAACCGUAUAGGGGAGCCGCAGGGAAACCGAGUCUUAACUGGGCGUUAAGUUGCAGGGUAUAGACCCGAAACCCGGUGAUCUAGCCAUGGGCAGGUUGAAGGUUGGGUAACACUAACUGGAGGACCGAACCGACUAAUGUUGAAAAAUUAGCGGAUGACUUGUGGCUGGGGGUGAAAGGCCAAUCAAACCGGGAGAUAGCUGGUUCUCCCCGAAAGCUAUUUAGGUAGCGCCUCGUGAACUCAUCUUCGGGGGUAGAGCACUGUUUCGGCUAGGGGGUCAUCCCGACUUACCAACCCGAUGCAAACUACGAAUACCGAAGAAUGUUAUCACGGGAGACACACGGCGGGUGCUAACGUCCGUCGUGAAGAGGGAAACAACCCAGACCGCCAGCUAAGGUCCCAAAGUCAUGGUUAAGUGGGAAACGAUGUGGGAAGGCACAGACAGCCAGGAUGUUGGCUUAGAAGCAGCCAUCAUUUAAAGAAAGCGUAAUAGCUCACUGGUCGAGUCGGCCUGCGCGGAAGAUGUAACGGGGCUAAACCAUGCACCGAAGCUGCGGCAGCGACACUAUGUGUUGUUGGGUAGGGGAGCGUUCUGUAAGCCUGCGAAGGUGUGCUGUGAGGCAUGCUGGAGGUAUCAGAAGUGCGAAUGCUGACAUAAGUAACGAUAAAGCGGGUGAAAAGCCCGCUCGCCGGAAGACCAAGGGUUCCUGUCCAACGUUAAUCGGGGCAGGGUGAGUCGACCCCUAAGGCGAGGCCGAAAGGCGUAGUCGAUGGGAAACAGGUUAAUAUUCCUGUACUUGGUGUUACUGCGAAGGGGGGACGGAGAAGGCUAUGUUAGCCGGGCGACGGUUGUCCCGGUUUAAGCAUGUAGGCUGGUUGUCCAGGCAAAUCCGGAUAAUCAAGGCUGAGGUGUGAUGACGAGGCACUACGGUGCUGAAGUAACAAAUGCCCUGCUUCCAGGAAAAGCCUCUAAGCAUCAGGUAACAUCAAAUCGUACCCCAAACCGACACAGGUGGUCAGGUAGAGAAUACCAAGGCGCUUGAGAGAACUCGGGUGAAGGAACUAGGCAAAAUGGUGCCGUAACUUCGGGAGAAGGCACGCUGGUGUGUAGGUGAAGCCCCUGCGGGUGGAGCUGAGACCAGUCGAAGAUACCAGCUGGCUGCAACUGUUUAUUAAAAACACAGCACUGUGCAAACACGAAAGUGGACGUAUACGGUGUGACGCCUGCCCGGUGCCGGAAGGUUAAUUGAUGGGGUUAUCCGUAAGGAGAAGCUCUUGAUCGAAGCCCCGGUAAACGGCGGCCGUAACUAUAACGGUCCUAAGGUAGCGAAAUUCCUUGUCGGGUAAGUUCCGACCUGCACGAAUGGCGUAAUGAUGGCCAGGCUGUCUCCACCCGAGACUCAGUGAAAUUGAACUCGCUGUGAAGAUGCAGUGUACCCGCGGCAAGACGGAAAGACCCCGUGAACCUUUACUAUAGCUUGACACUGAACAUUGAGCCUUGAUGUGUAGGAUAGGUGGGAGGCUUUGAAGCGUGGACGCCAGUCUGCGUGGAGCCAACCUUGAAAUACCACCCUUUAAUGUUUGAUGUUCUAACGUUGGCCCCUUACCGGGGUUGCGGACAGUGUCUGGUGGGUAGUUUGACUGGGGCGGUCUCCUCCCAAAGCGUAACGGAGGAGCACGAAGGUUAGCUAAUCCUGGUCGGACAUCAGGAGGUUAGUGCAAUGGCAUAAGCUAGCUUGACUGCGAGCGUGACGGCGCGAGCAGGUGCGAAAGCAGGUCAUAGUGAUCCGGUGGUUCUGAAUGGAAGGGCCAUCGCUCAACGGAUAAAAGGUACUCCGGGGAUAACAGGCUGAUACCGCCCAAGAGUUCAUAUCGACGGCGGUGUUUGGCACCUCGAUGUCGGCUCAUCACAUCCUGGGGCUGAAGUAGGUCCCAAGGGUAUGGCUGUUCGCCAUUUAAAGUGGUACGCGAGCUGGGUUUAGAACGUCGUGAGACAGUUCGGUCCCUAUCUGCCGUGGGCGCUGGAGAAUUGAGGGGGGCUGCUCCUAGUACGAGAGGACCGGAGUGGACGCAUCACUGGUGUUCGGGUUGUCAUGCCAAUGGCACUGCCCGGUAGCUAAAUGCGGAAGAGAUAAGUGCUGAAAGCAUCUAAGCACGAAACUUGCCCCGAGAUGAGUUCUCCCUGAGACUUUAAGUCUCCUGAAGGAACGUUGAAGACGACGACGUUGAUAGGCCGGGUGUGUAAGCGCAGCGAUGCGUUGAGCUAACCGGUACUAAUGAACCGUGAGGCUUAACCUU